This 84-nucleotide transfer RNA is filed under the name Halomicrobium zhouii. RNAcentral describes it as "tRNA_Leu_GAG". It matches the Rfam family "tRNA". From Rfam's summary of the family: Transfer RNA (tRNA) molecules are approximately 80 nucleotides in length. Their secondary structure includes four short double-helical elements and three loops (D, anti-codon, and T loops). Lineage: Archaea; Methanobacteriati; Methanobacteriota; Halobacteria; Halobacteriales; Haloarculaceae. The record is from RNAcentral.
ACCGCCAUGCCCGAGUGGCCCAAGGGGCACGGCUGAGGGCCGUGUGUGCGAAGGCACGCCCAGGUUCGACUCCUGGUGGCGGUA